This is a long non-coding RNA of Vanessa tameamea, 202 nucleotides long. RefSeq lists it as uncharacterized. NCBI's taxonomy places the organism in Eukaryota, Metazoa, Arthropoda, Insecta, Lepidoptera, Nymphalidae. The transcript has 2 exons. The record is from RefSeq and is a predicted model, not a curated record.
UGAGGGCUGUUUGAUGAAUCAUCAUCGGGGCUGUCUGGUGAUCCUCCUUGUGGGGUAGUAGUGGUAGUAGAUCCAAUUUCAUUUUGUCCCCAGGUAUUGGAGUAAGUUUGUCCACUGCUUGAGAAUGAGCUGCCAGUGUUACUACCACUGGAUGUUUGGCCAUAACUUGAGCUGAUAGUACUAGGAGAGUCCUUCUGUGGGC